Molecule: long non-coding RNA, 567 nt
Filed under: Nicotiana benthamiana
Lineage: Eukaryota; Viridiplantae; Streptophyta; Magnoliopsida; Solanales; Solanaceae
Description: long non-coding RNA (NBEN_LNC018384)
Source: RNAcentral
GUUUUGGGGGAAGGCUGAGUUAGGCAAGGCUUGACUGCCGCACGGAGGUGAAACCUCAGCCAGGAUUUAAGUGGCCAAAAUCGACCCCGUGACAGUUGGUAUCAGAGCGCGGUUGAAGGCAGAUCAUGUUGCAGCGGAGACACGACGUGCCAUAGCAAGUUGUGGCAAUGACGGAACGAUCAGUGGCAGAUUACGUUGAAAUUUUUGAGAACAUGGCAGGAGGCACAAAUGCGGAGCUGCGUCAAAGAGUUGAGCAGUUGGAAACACUAGUUGGGCAAGCUCUCGAGAAUGAUGAUUCUUCUGUUCUUGCGAGAAUGGCGCGGUUGGAGGCAGAUUAUGCGGCGAGGCACGAGACAACGCUGGCAGAAAUGGCCUUCGGAGCUGCGUCAAAGAGUUGAGCAGUUGGAAACACUAGUUGGGCAAGCUCUCGAGAAUGAUGAUUCUUCUGUUCUUGCGAGAAUGGCGCGGUUAGAGGCAGAUUAUGCGGCGAGGCACGACACAACGCUGGCAGAAAUGGCCUUGGUACGCCAAGAGAAGGAAGAGUUGCAACGAGAAGUGGCUGAUCUU